GGGUCCGCCAUGGUUUCGACGGGGGUUACAAAGCGGAUGGGGGCAUGCCGGGUUCUCAGUUACCCGUAAAACACUGAACCAAGAUAGUCGCAAACGACGAAACUUACGCCCUAGCCGCUUAAUCGCGCUAGGCUCUGCGCCACUUCUCCUCUCGGGUGGACCUGGCAACAGGUAGCAGAGUCAUUUAGAGAGGAUCGCGCUGCGUAGGGUCACUUUACGUAGUGUCAAAAAUAGGUGACUCGCUGGAGACAAGCCUGCCCGUCGGCUCGUCAAAGGUUAAAUCCAGUAGACACGGCUAAGCAUGUAGAACUCUUCGUAGAGGGCUUCCGGACGCGGGUUCGACUCCCGCCGGAUCCACCA
This 360-nucleotide transfer-messenger RNA is filed under the name Amantichitinum ursilacus. RNAcentral describes it as "Standard tmRNA". It matches the Rfam family "transfer-messenger RNA". From Rfam's summary of the family: Bacterial tmRNA, also known as 10Sa RNA or SsrA, is named for its dual tRNA and mRNA-like properties. Its role is to liberate the mRNA from a stalled ribosome. To accomplish this part of the tmRNA is used as a reading frame that ends in a translation stop signal. Lineage: Bacteria; Pseudomonadati; Pseudomonadota; Betaproteobacteria; Neisseriales; Chitinibacteraceae. The record is from Rfam by way of RNAcentral.